Molecule: ribosomal RNA, 408 nt
Filed under: uncultured bacterium
Lineage: Bacteria
Description: partial 16S ribosomal RNA
Rfam family: Bacterial small subunit ribosomal RNA
Source: RNAcentral
GACGAACGCUGGCGGCGUGCUUAACACAUGCAAGUCGAACGAAGUGGCGAACGGGCGAGUAACACGUGUGUAACCUGUCCUUUUCUUUGGGAAAACGGCUGGAAACGGCUGCUAAUACUGGAUAGGAUUGGGUGGUCUCGCGGCCUAUCAGCUUGUUGGUGGGGUGAUGGCUUACCAAGGCUUUGACGGGUAGCCGGCCUGCGAGGUUGGUCGGUCGCACUGGGACUGGGAUACGGCCCAGGAUCCUACGGGAGGCAGCAGUGGGGAAUAUUGCACAAUGGACAAAAGUUUGAUGCAGCGACGCCGCGUGCGGGAUGAAGGCCUUCGGGUUGUAAACCGCUUUAAGCCAUGACGCGGUAGUGGCAGAAGAAGCACCGGCUAACUACGUGCCAGCAGCCGCGGUAAUUC